AGAAAUGCAGUGACAGGGAGGAGUACAUGGCCUGCCAAAGCCCAGAGAGAAGAUGGAUGGUGGAAAUCUUCGUGAGGGGGUCAUGGAAGUAGCCUUCGAGCAGUGGACCCAAACGGCGCCGCCGGCGCAUUAGUAGGGCUCAACGUUUUUCCCGCGUUACAGGGAAGCGGUAUCGGACAGCAGACCAGAGUCCCGUACCGGCAGAGCGCAGAGAGGAUUUCUCUGAAUUUAGGUGGUAACACGGAUGACAGAUUCGCCCUAAGC
Molecule: non-coding RNA, 264 nt
Filed under: Lachnoclostridium sp.
Lineage: Bacteria; Bacillati; Bacillota; Clostridia; Lachnospirales; Lachnospiraceae
Description: T-box sequence
Rfam family: T-box leader
About the family: Uncharged tRNA acts as the effector for transcription antitermination of genes in the T-box leader family.
Source: RNAcentral